AGAAGACAAAGAGGAGAGAGAAUGGGGAGGAAGAAGAUGAAAAGCAAGAAAGAAUGGAGGUUAGAGGGGACCACCGUGAGGAGGAAUAGUUUAUGGAUAGCUUGGAGGAGGAGGAUGAGGAAAAAAUGGAUGGAGAAAAAGAGAAGGGAUAGAGGAAUGGGAGGAGAAAGGAGGAAGAGAAAGUGGAGGAGGAGAAAUAGGUGAGG
This 206-nucleotide long non-coding RNA is filed under the name Elaeis guineensis (African oil palm). RNAcentral describes it as "long non-coding RNA (EGUI_LNC026954)". The record is from RNAcentral. Lineage: Eukaryota; Viridiplantae; Streptophyta; Magnoliopsida; Arecales; Arecaceae.